RNAcentral lists this ribosomal RNA (206 nucleotides) under uncultured bacterium. RNAcentral's name for it is "partial 16S ribosomal RNA". It matches the Rfam family "Bacterial small subunit ribosomal RNA", at positions 1297 to 1500 of the family's 1533-position model. The record is from RNAcentral.
AUUGUAGUCUGCAACUCGACUACAUGAAGCUGGAAUCGCUAGUAAUCGCGAAUCAGCAUGUCGCGGUGAAUACGUUCCCGGGUCUUGUACACACCGCCCGUCACACCAUGGGAGUUGGUAACGCCCGAAGCCAGUGACCCAACCGGAAACGGAGGGAGCUGUCGAAGGUGGGACCGAUAACUGGGGUGAAGUCGUAACAAGGUAGC